This 566-nucleotide ribosomal RNA is filed under the name uncultured bacterium. RNAcentral describes it as "bacterial SSU rRNA". It matches the Rfam family "Bacterial small subunit ribosomal RNA", at positions 338 to 916 of the family's 1533-position model. The record is from RNAcentral.
CCUACGGGAGGCAGCAGUGGGGAAUAUUGGACAAUGGGCGAAAGCCUGAUCCAGCAAUGCCGCGUGAGUGAUGAAGGCCUUAGGGUUGUAAAGCUCUUUUACCCGGGAUGAUAAUGACAGUACCGGGAGAAUAAGCUCCGGCUAACUCCGUGCCAGCAGCCGCGGUAAUACGGAGGGAGCUAGCGUUAUUCGGAAUUACUGGGCGUAAAGCGCACGUAGGCGGCUUUGUAAGUAAGAGGUGAAAGCCUGGUGCUCGAACACCAGAACUGCCUUUUAGACUGCAUCGCUUGAAUCCAGGAGAGGUGAGUGGAAUUCCGAGUGUAGAGGUGAAAUUCGUAGAUAUUCGGAAGAACACCAGUGGCGAAGGCGGCUCACUGGACUGGUAUUGACGCUGAGGUGCGAAAGCGUGGGGAGCAAACAGGAUUAGAUACCCGUGGUAGUCCACGCCGUAAACGAUCGAUAACUAGCUGUCGGGGCUCUUAGAGCUUCGGUGGCGCAGCUAACGCAUUAAGUUAUCCGCCUGGGGAGUACGGCCGACAAGGUUAAAACUCGAAAUGAAUUGACGG